RNAcentral lists this non-coding RNA (29 nucleotides) under Mus musculus (house mouse). Lineage: Eukaryota; Metazoa; Chordata; Mammalia; Rodentia; Muridae. The record is from RNAcentral.
UUAUAUGAAUCCAGCCUAAUGGAAGAGGA